CCUACGGGUGGCAGCAGUGAGGAAUAUUGGUCAAUGGGCGUAAGCCUGAACCAGCCAAGUCGCGUGAGGGAUGAAGGUUCUAUGGAUCGUAAACCUCUUUUAUAAGGGAGUAAAGUGCGGGACGUGUCCCGUUUUGUAUGUACCUUAUGAAUAAGGAUCGGCUAACUCCGUGCCAGCAGCCGCGGUAAUACGGAGGAUACGAGCGUUAUCCGGAUUUAUUGGGUUUAAGGGGUGCGUAGGCGGCUUUUUAAGUCAGCGGUGAAAGUCUGUGGCUCAACCAUAGAAUGGCCGUUGAAACUGGGGGGCUUGAGUAUGGUAGAGGCAGGCGGAAUGCGUGGUGUAGCGGUGAAAUGCGUAGAUAUAACGCAGAACCCCGAUUGCGAAGGCGGCCUGCCAAGCCAUGACUGACGCUGAUGUACGAAAGCGUGGGGAUCAAACAGGAUUAGAUACCCGAGUAGUC
RNAcentral lists this ribosomal RNA (460 nucleotides) under uncultured bacterium. RNAcentral's name for it is "partial 16S ribosomal RNA". It matches the Rfam family "Bacterial small subunit ribosomal RNA", at positions 338 to 795 of the family's 1533-position model. The record is from RNAcentral.